AUUGAACGCUGGCGGCAUGCCUUACACAUGCAAGUCGAACGGCAGCACGGGAGCAAUCCUGGUGGCGAGUGGCGAACGGGUGAGUAAAGUAUCGGAACGUGCCCAGUCGUGGGGGAUAACGUAGCGAAAGUUACGCUAAUACCGCAUACGAUCUAUGGAUGAAAGCGGGGGACCGCAAGACCUCGCGCGAUUGGAGCGGCCGAUAUCAGAUUAGGUAGUUGGUGGGGUAAAGGCUCACCAAGCCGACGAUCUGUAGCUGGUCUGAGAGGACGACCAGCCACACUGGGACUGAGACACGGCCCAGACUCCUACGGGAGGCAGCAGUGGGGAAUUUUGGACAAUGGGCGAAAGACUGAUCCAGCCAUGCCGCGUGCAGGAUGAAGGCCUUCGGGUUGUAAACUGCUUUUGUACGGAACGAAAAGGUUUGGCCUAAUAAGCUGAGCUCAUGACGGUACUGUAAGAAUAAGCACCGGCUAACUACGUGCCAGCCGCCGCCGUAA
RNAcentral lists this ribosomal RNA (500 nucleotides) under uncultured bacterium. Its description in RNAcentral is "partial 16S ribosomal RNA". It matches the Rfam family "Bacterial small subunit ribosomal RNA", at positions 30 to 523 of the family's 1533-position model. The record is from RNAcentral.